GAUGAACGCUAGCGGGAGGCCUAACACAUGCAAGCCGAGCGGGAUUUGUUGGUUAGCUUGCUAACUAACAAUGAGAGCGGCGUACGGGUGCGUAGCACGUGUGCAACCUGCCUUUAUCUGGGGGAUAGCCUUUCGAAAGGAAGAUUAAUACCCCAUAACAUAUUGAUUGGCAUCAGUUAAUAUUGAAAGCUCCGGCGGAUAGAGAUGGGCACGCGUAAGAUUAGCUAGUUGGUGAGGUAACGGCUCACCAAGGCUGCGAUCUUUAGGGGGCCUGAGAGGGUGAUCCCCCACACUGGUACUGAGACACGGACCAGACUCCUACGGGAGGCAGCUGUGAGGAAUAUUGGACAAUGGGUGAGAGCCUGAUCCAGCCAUCCCGCGUGAAGGACUAAGGACCUAUGGUUUGUAAACUUCUUUUAUACAGGGAUAAACCUACUCUCGUGAGGGUAGCUGAAGGUACUGUAUGAAUAAGCACCGGCUAACUCCGUG
RNAcentral lists this ribosomal RNA (489 nucleotides) under uncultured bacterium. RNAcentral's name for it is "partial 16S ribosomal RNA". It matches the Rfam family "Bacterial small subunit ribosomal RNA", at positions 28 to 507 of the family's 1533-position model. The record is from RNAcentral.